ACCUUUCCACCCCAAACCACCGCAUCACAAGCCACCCCAUGUCAAACCACCGCACAAGCCCCCGUAUGUUCCUAAACCACCUUACACACCAAGGCCUAAACCGCCUUACACGCCAAAACCACCUUAUACGCCAACCCCUAAGCCACCAUAUUUCCCCAAACCACCUUACACACCAAGGCCUAAGCCACCGUAUGCGCCAAAACCACCUUAUACGCCAACCCCUAAGCCACCCUAUUUCCCCAAACCACCUUACACACCAAGUCCCAAAACCACCUUACACCCCAACUCCUAAGCCACCGUAUGUCCCUAAACCACCGUAUGUACCAUCACCACCUUAUACCCCUCGCCCUAGACCACCGUAUGUACCAUCGCCACCUUAUACCCCUAGUCCUAAACCACCGUAUGUGCCAUCACCACCUUAUACCCCCAGCCCUACCCCACCAUAUGUACCAUCACCACCGUAUACCCCAAGCCCUACCCCGCCAUAUGUACCAUCACCACCGUAUACCCCAAGCCCUAGCCCACCACCACCACCAAGUGGAACACCGUGUCCUCCGCCGCCGCCACCAACUUGUCCCAUUGAUACUCUCAAG
Molecule: long non-coding RNA, 593 nt
Filed under: Citrus sinensis (sweet orange)
Lineage: Eukaryota; Viridiplantae; Streptophyta; Magnoliopsida; Sapindales; Rutaceae
Description: long non-coding RNA (CSIN_LNC002619)
Source: RNAcentral